CUGACGAGCGGCGGUAGGGCGAGUAAUGCAUAGGAAUCUGCCCGGUAGUGGGGGACAACCUGGGGAAACCCAGGCUAAUACCGCAUACGUCCUACGGGAGAAAGGGGGCUCCGGCUCCCGCUAUUGGAUGAGCCUAUGUCGGAUUAGCUAGUUGGUGAGGUAAUGGCUCACCAAGGCAACGAUCCGUAGCUGGUCUGAGAGGAUGAUCAGCCACAUCGGGACUGAGACACGGCCCGAACUCCUACGGGAGGCAGCAGUGGGGAAUAUUGGACAAUGGGGGCAACCCUGAUCCAGCCAUGCCGCGUGUGUGAAGAAGGCCCUCGGGUUGUAAAGCACUUUCAGCGAGGAAGAACGCCUAGUGGUUAAUACCCAUUAGGAAAGACAUCACUCGCAGAAGAAGCACCGGCUAACUCCGUGCCAGCAGCCGCGG
RNAcentral lists this ribosomal RNA (430 nucleotides) under uncultured Halomonas sp. RNAcentral describes it as "bacterial SSU rRNA". It matches the Rfam family "Bacterial small subunit ribosomal RNA", at positions 88 to 520 of the family's 1533-position model. The record is from RNAcentral. Lineage: Bacteria; Pseudomonadati; Pseudomonadota; Gammaproteobacteria; Oceanospirillales; Halomonadaceae.